GGGCCCGCACAAGCGGUGGAGCAUGUGGUUUAAUUCGAUGCAACGCGAAGAACCUUACCAGGCCUUGACAUCCUCGGAACUUUCUAGAGAUAGAUUGGUGCCUUCGGGAACCGAGUGACAGGUGCUGCAUGGCUGUCGUCAGCUCGUGUCGUGAGAUGUUGGGUUAAGUCCCGUAACGAGCGCAACCCUUGUCCUUAGUUGCCAGCACAUUAUGGUGGGAACUCUAAGGAGACUGCCGAUGACAAAUCGGAGGAAGGUGGGGACGACGUCAAGUCAUCAUGGCCCUUACGUGUAGGGCUACACACGUGCUACAAUGGCCGGUACAGAGGGCAGCGAAGUCGCGAGGCUAAGCAAA
This 355-nucleotide ribosomal RNA is filed under the name uncultured bacterium. RNAcentral describes it as "bacterial SSU rRNA". It matches the Rfam family "Bacterial small subunit ribosomal RNA", at positions 917 to 1271 of the family's 1533-position model. The record is from RNAcentral.